This 482-nucleotide ribosomal RNA is filed under the name uncultured bacterium. RNAcentral describes it as "partial 16S ribosomal RNA". It matches the Rfam family "Bacterial small subunit ribosomal RNA", at positions 29 to 507 of the family's 1533-position model. The record is from RNAcentral.
AUUGAACGCUGGCGGCAUGCCUUACACAUGCAAGUCGAACGGUAACAGGGCUUCUGACGCUGGCGAGUGGCGCACGGGUGAGUAAUGCAUCGGAACGUGCCCAGUCGAGGGGGGUAACUGCUCGAAAGAGGAGCUAAUACCGCAUACGACCUGAGGGGGAGAGCGGGGGACCGUAAGGCAUCGCGCGAUUGGAGAGGCCGAUGUCAGAUUAGCUAGUUGGUGGGGUAAAGGCCUACCAAGGCAACGAUCUGUAGUUGGUCUGAGAGGAUGAUCAGCCACACUGGGACUGAGACACGGUCCAGACUCCUACGGGAGGCAGCAGUGGGGAAUUUUGGACAAUGGGCGCAAGCCUGAUCCAGCAAUGCCGCGUGCAGGAAGAAGGCCUUCGGGUUGUAAACUGCUUUUGUCAGGGAAGAAAUCUUCUGGGCUAAUACCCCGGGAGGAUGACGGUACCUGAAGAAUAAGCACCGGCUAACUACGUG